This 494-nucleotide ribosomal RNA is filed under the name uncultured bacterium. Its description in RNAcentral is "bacterial SSU rRNA". It matches the Rfam family "Bacterial small subunit ribosomal RNA", at positions 28 to 518 of the family's 1533-position model. The record is from RNAcentral.
GACGAACGCUGGCGGCGUGCCUAACACAUGCAAGUCGAGCGGAGCCAAUCAACGGAAUCCUUCGGGAGGAAGAUGAGGAAGCUUAGCGGCGGACGGGUGAGUAACGCGUGAGUAACCUGCCCAUAAGAGGGGGAUAACACAAAGAAAUUUGUGCUAAUACCGCAUAUUGAGUAUUUACCGCAUGAUGAAUACUUGAAAGAUUUAUCGCUUAUGGAUGGACUCGCGUCUGAUUAGCUAGUUGGUGAGGUAGAGGCUCACCAAGGCGACGAUCAGUAGCCGAACUGAGAGGUUGAUCGGCCACAUUGGGACUGAGACACGGCCCAGACUCCUACGGGAGGCAGCAGUGGGGAAUAUUGGGCAAUGGGCGAAAGCCUGACCCAGCAACGCCGCGUGAGGGAAGAAGGUUCUCGGAUUGUAAACCUCUGUCCUUGGUGACGAAGGAAGUGACGGUAGCCAAGGAGGAAGCCCCGGCUAACUACGUGCCAGCAGCCGAC